UCCUCCCUCUGGCGGCGUGCUUAACACAUGCAAGUCGAACGGAAAGGCCCUGCUUGCCGGGUGCUCGAGUGGCGAACGGGUGAGUAACACGGGGGUGAUCUGCCCCUUACUUUGGGAUAAGCCUGGGAAACUGGGUCUAAUACUGGAUAGGACCAUGCUGUAGGUGGUGUGGUGGAAAGAUUAGUUUCGGUAAGGGAUGAGCUCGCGGCCUAUCAGCUUGUUGGUGGGGUAAUGGCCUACCAAGGCGUCGACGGGUAGCCGGCCUGAGAGGGUGGACGGCCAGAUUGGGACUGAGAUACGGCCCAGACGCCUACGGGAGGCAGCAGUGGGGAAUAUUGUACAAUGGGCGCAAGCCGGAUGCAGCGACGCCGCGUGGGGGAUGACGGCCUUCGGGUUGUAAACUCCUUUCAGCCAUGACGAAGCCCUUGUGGUGACGGUAGUGGUAGAAGAAGCACCGGCUAACUACGUG
This 469-nucleotide ribosomal RNA is filed under the name uncultured bacterium. RNAcentral's name for it is "partial 16S ribosomal RNA". It matches the Rfam family "Bacterial small subunit ribosomal RNA", at positions 34 to 507 of the family's 1533-position model. The record is from RNAcentral.